This 773-nucleotide long non-coding RNA is filed under the name Marmota monax (woodchuck). Lineage: Eukaryota; Metazoa; Chordata; Mammalia; Rodentia; Sciuridae. The record is from RNAcentral.
GUACCUAGUAAAUUUACUAUGUAUAAAUUCAUUACUCUCUUUUAACUGUCCAUCAUAGAACUAAAUUCUAUCUUCAUUUUAUUAAUGCUUGUCUGCCUUUGGUUUCAUUUAGGAAACCCCACCUGUUUCCUAAUACUCAGAGCUGAUUGCCUCUCAGUAAGCCAUGUUCAGAUCAUCUUUUUCUCAAGAAUACUGACCUGCAUUCUUGAUGUACCACACCCUGCCCCCAGUUCCCAUCUUGCAGACACUGUUAAAUAAUAAAAUGCAUGCAGUUCACUAACAGAGAAUACUUUCCUAUGUCUAAAGUUCUUCUUCAUCUAGAAAUUACCUUUGCUGUUAUUAAUAAGAUCCCUUCUCACAGUUUUGGAGCAUAAAACUGGGUGAGUUGGAUACAUAUCUCAGAAUUUUCUUUUAUCCCUCACUUCUCAACUGAUGUGCCAAGUUGGACUGCAUACUUCUUUUUUCCUGCCAAGUAUUAUAUAUUGUAUAUCCUGAGGCAGGAAAAAUGUCUAUUAUUUGAAGCAAACGUUACACAUUAUUUUAUUCCCUAAAAGUCCAAUUGAUCUCUGAGGUUGAGUUAUUCUAGUCCUUGGAGUGUCUGUCUUGUGAAUCUCUGUCCUAAUUAAUAUAAAUUAUAGAUUAUCCAUUUUCAUCUCUGCUGAGUAAUACAACUAUGUUCCAUAAUUAUUCCAGUUUCCCCCAAAUCUUACGAGGUAACAAGUUAAAACUGAGGUGUUUGGUUUUUUUCCCACAAAUAUUAUUUUAUCCUUGGC